RNAcentral lists this ribosomal RNA (362 nucleotides) under uncultured bacterium. Its description in RNAcentral is "bacterial SSU rRNA". It matches the Rfam family "Bacterial small subunit ribosomal RNA", at positions 30 to 391 of the family's 1533-position model. The record is from RNAcentral.
AGUGAACGCUGGCGGCAGGCCUAACACAUGCAAGUCGAGCGGCAGCACGGGUAGCAAUACCUGGUGGCGAGCGGCGGACGGGUGAGGAAUACAUCGGAAUCUGCCUCGUCUGGGGGAUAACGUAGGGAAACUUACGCUAAUACCGCAUACGACCGAGAGGUGAAAGCGGGGGGAUCGCAAGACCUCGCGCGAUGAGAUGAGCCGAUGUCGGAUUAGCUAGUUGGCGGGUAAGAGCCACCAAGGCGACGAUCCGUAGCUGGUCUGAGAGGAUGAUCAGCCACACUGGAACUGAGACACGGUCCAGACUCCUACGGGAGGCAGCAGUGGGGGAAUAUUGGACAAUGGGCGCAAGCCUGAUCCAG